CGAGCGCUCACUUCGGUGGGAGCGGCGGACGGGUUAGUAACGCGUGGGAACAUACCCUUCUCUACGGAAUAGCCUCGGGAAACUGAGAGUAAUACCGUAUACGCCCUUCGGGGGAAAGAUUUAUCGGAGAUGGAUUGGCCCGCGUUAGAUUAGAUAGUUGGUGGGGUAAUGGCCUACCAAGUCUACGAUCUAUAGCUGGUUUUAGAGGACGAUCAGCAACACUGGGACUGAGACACGGCCCAG
This 243-nucleotide ribosomal RNA is filed under the name uncultured bacterium. RNAcentral's name for it is "partial 16S ribosomal RNA". It matches the Rfam family "Bacterial small subunit ribosomal RNA", at positions 63 to 334 of the family's 1533-position model. The record is from RNAcentral.